GUAGGGAGCGAGCGUUGUCCGGAUUCAUUGGGCGUAAAGCGCGCGUAGGCGGCCUCGCAAGUCGGUUGUGAAAUCCCGGUGGCUCAACCCCGGGACUGCGUCCGAUACUGCGAGGCUGGAGGUAGGUAGGGGAGAUCGGAAUUCCUGGUGUAGCGGUGAAAUGCGCAGAUAUCAGGAGGAACACCGGUGGCGAAGGCGGAUCUCUGGGCCUUACCUGACGCUGAGGCGCGAAAGCUAGGGGAGCGAACAGGAUUAGAUACCCUGGUAGUCCUAGCCGUAAACGUUGGGUGCUAGGUGUGGGCGGAUAUCGACCCCGUCCGUGCCGAAGCUAACGCAUUAAGCACCCCGCCUGGGGAGUACGGCCGCAAGGCUAAA
This 375-nucleotide ribosomal RNA is filed under the name uncultured bacterium. RNAcentral's name for it is "bacterial SSU rRNA". It matches the Rfam family "Bacterial small subunit ribosomal RNA", at positions 527 to 898 of the family's 1533-position model. The record is from RNAcentral.